Molecule: ribosomal RNA, 468 nt
Filed under: uncultured bacterium
Lineage: Bacteria
Description: partial 16S ribosomal RNA
Rfam family: Bacterial small subunit ribosomal RNA
Source: RNAcentral
GACGAACGCUGGCGGCGUGCUUAACACAUGCAAGUCGAACGGAAAGGCCCUGCUUUUGUGGGGUGCUCGAGUGGCGAGGGGGUGAGUAACACGUGUGUAACCUGCCCUUGUCUGUGGGAUAACUUCAGGAAACUGGGGCUAAUACCGGAGAGGAGCUCAUGCUGCGUGGGGGGGGUUGGAAAGUUUCGGCGGUUGGGGAUGGACUCGCGGCUUAUCAGCUUGUUGGUGGGGUAGUGGCUGACCAAGGCUUUGACGGGUAGCCGGCCUGAGAGGGUGACCGGCCACAUUGGGACUGAGAUACGGCCCAGACUCCUACGGGAGGCAGCAGUGGGGAAUAUUGCACAAUGGGCGGAAGCCUGAUGCAGCAACGCCGCGUGCGGGAUGACGGCCUUCGGGUUGUAAACCGCUUUCGCCUGUGACGAAGCGUGAGUGACGGUACUGGGUAAAGAAGCACCGGCUAACUACGUG